Molecule: long non-coding RNA, 3854 nt
Filed under: Homo sapiens (human)
Lineage: Eukaryota; Metazoa; Chordata; Mammalia; Primates; Hominidae
Description: SLC35D2-HSD17B3 readthrough (SLC35D2-HSD17B3)
Source: RNAcentral
CUCUUCCCCGGCCCGGCCGGGCGGGACCAGUGCGCAGCCGGGGCUGGCGGGCGGCGGGGUCCGCGGGGCCGCAGGAGAUGACGGCCGGCGGCCAGGCCGAGGCCGAGGGCGCUGGCGGGGAGCCCGGCGCGGCGCGGCUGCCCUCGCGGGUGGCCCGGCUGCUGUCGGCGCUCUUCUACGGGACCUGCUCCUUCCUCAUCGUGCUUGUCAACAAGGCGCUGCUGACCACCUACGGUUUCCCGUCACCAAUUUUCCUUGGAAUUGGACAGAUGGCAGCCACCAUAAUGAUACUAUAUGUGUCCAAGCUAAACAAAAUCAUUCACUUCCCUGAUUUUGAUAAGAAAAUUCCUGUAAAGCUGUUUCCUCUGCCUCUCCUCUACGUUGGAAACCACAUAAGUGGAUUAUCAAGCACAAGUAAAUUAAGCCUACCGAUGUUCACCGUGCUCAGGAAAUUCACCAUUCCACUUACCUUACUUCUGGAAACCAUCAUACUUGGGAAGCAGUAUUCACUCAACAUCAUCCUCAGUGUCUUUGCCAUUAUUCUCGGGGCUUUCAUAGCAGCUGGGUCUGACCUUGCUUUUAACUUAGAAGGCUAUAUUUUUGUAUUCCUGAAUGAUAUCUUCACAGCAGCAAAUGGAGUUUAUACCAAACAGAAAAUGGACCCAAAGGAGCUAGGGAAAUACGGAGUACUUUUCUACAAUGCCUGCUUCAUGAUUAUCCCAACUCUUAUUAUUAGUGUCUCCACUGGAGACCUGCAACAGGCUACUGAAUUCAACCAAUGGAAGAAUGUUGUGUUUAUCCUACAGUUUCUUCUUUCCUGUUUUUUGGGGUUUCUGCUGAUGUACUCCACGGUUCUGUGCAGCUAUUACAAUUCAGCCCUGACGACAGCAGUGGUUGGAGCCAUCAAGAAUGUAUCCGUUGCCUACAUUGGGAUAUUAAUCGGUGGAGACUACAUUUUCUCUUUGUUAAACUUUGUAGGGUUAAAUAUUUGCAUGGCAGGGGGCUUGAGAUAUUCCUUUUUAACACUGAGCAGCCAGUUAAAACCUAAACCUGUGGGUGAAGAAAACAUCUGUUUGGAUUUGAAGAGCUAAAGAGUCUGCAGCAGGAUUGGAGACUGACUUGUGACUGCGGGCUGGGGGGGCAUUCCCAGUAGGAAUGUGAAGCCAGAGGUUUCGGAUUCGUGACAUCCACCCCCUGGGCAAGUGAGAGCAUCUGCAAAAUGCAAAGAGAACUACCUCAUAUGCAGGAUGAGCCAAUGGCAGUCUCAAGAAAUGUACUCGGGCGACACCUUACCUGUGGAAAGCAAAUCUUUUCAAAAUAAGCCACUGGGACUCGCUCGACUUGGUGGAAGUUCUGCCUCAGGUGGGCAUAGCCAAAAAGGGGUCAUUCUCUUCUCGGUUCCUGGGGAAUUGGAUCCAACUGGGAGAAGACCACCUGAAUUCUCAUCCCAUCUAAGUUGAAGAUGCUAUUUUUUAAAAAUUUAAUUUGUAAUUUUAAGUUCUGGGAUACAUGUGCAGGAUGUGCAGGUUUGUUACAUAGGUAAAUGUGUGCCCUGGUGGUUUGCUGCACCUAUCAACCUAUCACCUAGGUAUUAAGCCCCACAUGCAUUAGCUAUUUAUCCUGAUGCUCCCUCUCCCGCACCCCCCUAACAGGCCCCAGUGUGUGUUGUUCCCCUCCCUGUGUCCAUGUAUUCUCAUUGUUCAGCUCCCACUUAUAAGUGAAAACAUGCAGUGUUUGGUUUUCUGUUCCUGUGUUAGUUUGCUGAGGAUAAUGGCUUCUAGCUCCAUCCAUGUCCCUGCAAUGGACAUGAUCUCGUUCCUUUUGAUGGCUGCAUAGUAUUCCGUGGUGUGUAUGUACCAUGUUUUCUUUAUCCAGUCUAUCAUAGAUGGGCAUUUGGGUUGAUUCCAUGUUUUUGCUGUUGUGAAUAGUGCUGCAGUGAACAUACACAUGCUUGUAUCUUUAUUUUUAAAAAUCUUUUUUUUUGAAGACAGGGUCUGGCUCUGUUGCCCAGGCAGGAGUACAGUGGCAUUAUCUCAGCUCACUGCAACCACUGCCUCCCAGGCUCAAGUGAUCUGCCCUCCUCAGCCUCCUAAGUAGCUGAGACCACAGGGACACACCAUUACACCUGGCUAAUUGUUGUAUUUUAGUAGAGAUGGGAUCUUUCUAUGUUGCCUAGGCUGGCCUCAAGUGAUCCUCCUGCCUUGGCCUCCCAAAGUGCUGUGAUUACAGGUGUGAACCACCAUGCCCAGCCAGAGAUGCUCAAUUCCUGGAAACCAACCAAGGAAGCUGCUGACAUCGGGAUGGCUGGACUUUCUAAAGGUGCCUUAUUCUCCUGUUGUGAUGGUGGAGGUGGGCAGAAGUUGUGUGAUGACAGCCUCUGGAAUCAGACGGCCUGGGGCCACGUCCUAGCUCUGCCAGUUUUAAAAAAACAGCUUGAUCGAGAUCUGAUGAAGCAAGCUGCUCUUGGGAGCUGCCCUGUGAGGAGGCCCACACAGCAAGGAACAAAGGAGGAGCAACCGGAUCCUGCAACAAACAAGUGACUGGGCUGCUGUUUCCCCAGCUCCUCCACAGUAACAAAAGCCUUAUUCAAAGGCCUGUGAGUCAGAGGAUUAUGUAAAGAAGUUACUUUAAUCUAGAUGCCCCUGACUUGAUGGAACACGUCCAGUGACUCCUGGAAGAAGAUCUGGAGGUCUCCAGAGCAGCGUGGUCCCAGGAGGCAUACACAGAGAGCCACGGCCAGGGCUGAAACAGUCUGUUGAGUGCAGCCAUGGGGGACGUCCUGGAACAGUUCUUCAUCCUCACAGGGCUGCUGGUGUGCCUGGCCUGCCUGGCGAAGUGCGUGAGAUUCUCCAGAUGUGUUUUACUGAACUACUGGAAAGUUUUGCCAAAGUCUUUCUUGCGGUCAAUGGGACAGUGGGCAGUGAUCACUGGAGCAGGCGAUGGAAUUGGGAAAGCGUACUCGUUCGAGCUAGCAAAACGUGGACUCAAUGUUGUCCUUAUUAGCCGGACGCUGGAAAAACUAGAGGCCAUUGCCACAGAGAUCGAGCGGACUACAGGGAGGAGUGUGAAGAUUAUACAAGCAGAUUUUACAAAAGAUGACAUCUACGAGCAUAUUAAAGAAAAACUUGCAGGCUUAGAAAUUGGAAUUUUAGUCAACAAUGUCGGAAUGCUUCCAAACCUUCUCCCAAGCCAUUUCCUGAACGCACCGGAUGAAAUCCAGAGCCUCAUCCAUUGUAACAUCACCUCCGUAGUCAAGAUGACACAGCUAAUUCUGAAACAUAUGGAAUCAAGGCAGAAAGGUCUCAUCCUGAACAUUUCUUCUGGGAUAGCCCUGUUUCCUUGGCCUCUCUACUCCAUGUACUCAGCUUCCAAGGCGUUUGUGUGCGCAUUUUCCAAGGCCCUGCAAGAGGAAUAUAAAGCAAAAGAAGUCAUCAUCCAGGUGCUGACCCCAUAUGCUGUCUCGACUGCAAUGACAAAGUAUCUAAAUACAAAUGUGAUAACCAAGACUGCUGAUGAGUUUGUCAAAGAGUCAUUGAAUUAUGUCACAAUUGGAGGUGAAACCUGUGGCUGCCUUGCCCAUGAAAUCUUGGCGGGCUUUCUGAGCCUGAUCCCGGCCUGGGCCUUCUACAGCGGUGCCUUCCAAAGGCUGCUCCUGACACACUAUGUGGCAUACCUGAAGCUCAACACCAAGGUCAGGUAGCCAGGCGGUGAGGAGUCCAGCACAACCUUUUCCUCACCAGUCCCAUGCUGGCUGAAGAGGACCAGAGGAGCAGACCAGCACUUCAACCUAGUCCGCUGAAGAUGGAGGGGGCUGGGGUCACAGAGGCAUAGAAUACACAUUUUUUGCCACUUUA